RNAcentral lists this ribosomal RNA (530 nucleotides) under uncultured bacterium. Its description in RNAcentral is "bacterial SSU rRNA". It matches the Rfam family "Bacterial small subunit ribosomal RNA", at positions 777 to 1310 of the family's 1533-position model. The record is from RNAcentral.
AAUAGAUACCCAGGUAGUCCACGCCCUAAACGAUGUCAACUAGCUGUUGGGGCCUUCGGGCCUUGGUAGCGCAGCUAACGCGUGAAGUUGACCGCCUGGGGAGUACGGUCGCAAGAUUAAAACUCAAAGGAAUUGACGGGGACCCGCACAAGCGGUGGAUGAUGUGGAUUAAUUCGAUGCAACGCGAAAAACCUUACCUACCCUUGACAUGUCUGGAAUCCCGAAGAGAUUUGGGAGUGCUCGCAAGAGAACCGGAACACAGGUGCUGCAUGGCUGUCGUCAGCUCGUGUCGUGAGAUGUUGGGUUAAGUCCCGCAACGAGCGCAACCCUUGUCAUUAGUUGCUACGAAAGGGCACUCUAAUGAGACUGCCGGUGACAAACCGGAGGAAGGUGGGGAUGACGUCAAGUCCUCAUGGCCCUUAUGGGUAGGGCUUCACACGUCAUACAAUGGUCGGGACAGAGGGUCGCCAACCCGGCGAGGGGGANCCGAAUCCCAGAAACCCGAUCGUAGUCCGGAUCGCAGUCUGCAA